UUAUUGGUAGACAUACCCUUUUCAAUACCAUUCUUGUACACCUGCCUAUGUGGAUGGCAUCUCUGUAAUUUUGUUAAAAAGAAAAGGGUAAAAUUGGAAUUUUGAAUCUGUUUUUUCAUUCUUUCUCAAUCUCAGAGAACUCUGUUCUCGUUCUCUCUUUACCCUCUUCCUCCUCCAACCCCCUCUUGCUACCGCCGCCGCCGCCUCUCUCCUUGCUUGCAUCCAUCCUUUGAUUUUGACUCUCCCUCUCUCUCUCUCUCUCUCUCUCUCUCUCUCUCUCUCUCUC
RNAcentral lists this long non-coding RNA (286 nucleotides) under Medicago truncatula (barrel medic). RNAcentral's name for it is "long non-coding RNA (MTRU_LNC000583)". Lineage: Eukaryota; Viridiplantae; Streptophyta; Magnoliopsida; Fabales; Fabaceae. The record is from RNAcentral.